This is a long non-coding RNA of Apodemus sylvaticus (European woodmouse), 636 nucleotides long. RefSeq lists it as uncharacterized. The transcript has 2 exons. The record is from RefSeq and is a predicted model, not a curated record. Lineage: Eukaryota; Metazoa; Chordata; Mammalia; Rodentia; Muridae.
GCAGGCUGCUAUGGUGUUGUAGAAGAAGCUGAGAGCUACAUUCUGAUCCAUAGACAGGAAAGAGAAAGGGCCUGGGACUCACAGAAAUUCACCUGUCACUGCCUUCUGAGUGCUGGGACUGAAGACAUACAUCGCCAUGACAGACAAUUCCGAGGUUACGUCCACCAUUCCCAGGAAAUCAAAGUGCCGGGGGCUUGAAGCAGCUGGUCACCUCAUAUCCACGGUUACGAGCAAAGAGAGAAUUACACUCACACUCGCUUGCUACCCAUCUCACUCUCUCUCCCCUUGUCCUGAACAGUUUUAUGUCAACUUGACACGAGCUAGGGUCAUCUGAAAGGAGGGACUCUCAACUGAGAAAAUGCCUUCAUAAGAUCUGUCUGUAAGGCCUUUUCUUAAUUAGGGACUGAUGUGGGAGGGCCUAUUGUGGGUGGAGCCACCCCUGGCUUGGUGGUCCUGGGUUCUGUAAGAAAGCAGCUUGGACAAAGCCCUGGGGAGCAGGCCAGUAAGCAGCACCCUCCAUGGCCUCUGCAUCAGCUCCUGUCUCCAGGUUCCUGCCCUGUGUGAGUUCCUGUUCUGGUUUCCUUCAGAUGAACUAUAAUGUGGAAGUGUAAGCUGAAUAAAGCCUUUCCUCCCCAA